GAAAAUUUAAUUAAAUUUUUAUAAUAUUGAAAUGUCAUUUCAAAAUUGUUUGUAUAACAAUUUUCG
Molecule: transfer RNA, 66 nt
Filed under: Psephenothrips eriobotryae
Lineage: Eukaryota; Metazoa; Arthropoda; Insecta; Thysanoptera; Phlaeothripidae
Description: tRNA-Asp
Source: RNAcentral